GCUAAACGCGAAGAACCUUACCGGGGCUUGACAUCUUUCUGACCGCCUGGGAAACCAGGUCUUCUUCCUUCGGGAAGACGGAAAGACAGGUGGUGCAUGGUUGUCGUCAGCUCGUGUCGUGAGAUGUUGGGUUAAGUCCCACAACGAGCGCAACCCUUGUCCUUAUUUGCCAGCCUGUUUACAGGCGUACUUUAAGGAGACUGCCGUAGAUAAUACGGAGGAAGGUGGGGAUGACGUCAAAUCCUCAUGCCCCUUACGUCCCGGGCUACACACGUGCUACAAUGGUCUGUACAGACCGCUGCGAUCCCGUGAGGGGGAGCGAAUCGGAAAAAGCCGGUCUCAGUUCGGAUUGGGGUCUGCAACUCGACCCCAUGAAGUCGGAGUCGCUAGUAAUCGCAGAUCAGCAACGCUGCGGUGAAUACGUUCCCGGGUCUUGUACACACCG
Molecule: ribosomal RNA, 445 nt
Filed under: uncultured bacterium
Lineage: Bacteria
Description: bacterial SSU rRNA
Rfam family: Bacterial small subunit ribosomal RNA
Source: RNAcentral